UUUUUGCGUGAGGGAUCGUAGUGAAAAUCCUUUUAUUAUGGAACUAUAGCGCAAUAAAAUGAUUGUAACGGAUAGCCCGAACAUGC
RNAcentral lists this small RNA (86 nucleotides) under Flavobacterium segetis. RNAcentral describes it as "Flavo-1 RNA". It matches the Rfam family "Flavo-1 RNA". Lineage: Bacteria; Pseudomonadati; Bacteroidota; Flavobacteriia; Flavobacteriales; Flavobacteriaceae. The record is from RNAcentral.